GGGGCUGUAGCUCAGUGGCAGAGUUCUUGCCUAGCAUGCAUGAGGCACUGAGUUCGAUCCUCAGCACCACA
Molecule: transfer RNA, 71 nt
Filed under: Marmota monax (woodchuck)
Lineage: Eukaryota; Metazoa; Chordata; Mammalia; Rodentia; Sciuridae
Description: tRNA.Ala
Rfam family: tRNA
About the family: Transfer RNA (tRNA) molecules are approximately 80 nucleotides in length.
Source: RNAcentral